Molecule: long non-coding RNA, 772 nt
Organism: Talpa occidentalis (Iberian mole)
Lineage: Eukaryota; Metazoa; Chordata; Mammalia; Eulipotyphla; Talpidae
Exons: 4
Source: RefSeq, a predicted model, not a curated record
GCCGGCCCAGAAGCCCCGGAGUCCUGCCGCCCACCCCUGGGCAGGGUCGGCGCCUUCUCCCCGGCCUCUCCGGGAGCGGCGCCCACAGGGACAAAAGAGCAGAGCAGGUUACUUCCACCUGAAGUUCCCCCAGGCAUCCCGGCUGGCCCCGAGAGACAGCCAAGCCAUCCCAGCCAGGAGAGGCUCUAAGAGGACGGUGAGGCACCUUCUCACUCAGUCUCAGCAGUGGGUGCUCUGGCUGAACUAGUUCUCACAGGAUGAGUUUGAAAAGCCAGAGGAAUCGCAAUCCGGUUGCUGAGAAGAAUAAGACCACAAGGACAAACUAAAAGGCCCUGCCUCUGCUUUUUCCCUGCUGCAGGAACUUAAAGCAUUUCUGCAAACGGAGACCACAGACCAUGCUUUUUAGCUACCAGAUUGACAAAGAUGAAGUCACUUGAUCCAGGUGUCAGUGACCUGGUGACUAUGGAGAGCAAAGAUGACAGUGCAAAUGGCCACGGCCUCCUUGGAACACAGCGUGACAUCCACUUGCAAAGCAGAACAUUCACACCUCUGCCACCCACAGUUCCACUGCAGGGCAGGUAUCCCUAGCAGCUAUUCUUGUUCAAGUGUAGACAAGUUGUGGUAUACCCAGACAGUUCAGCUGUGAAGGCACUCCAGAGAGACUAGCAGUCAAUGAGACAGAAGGCAGAACAACAAUAAAGAGAUGUCAACACAAAUAAAAGCGAGUUCUUUGAAAAGAUCAAUAAACUUGAUUAAUAAAAUGGAGACUUUA